UAAGACAGAGGUGCCAAGCGUUAGGCGGAAUCACUGGGCUUAAAGCGUGUGUAGGCGGAUUUCUAAGUACCUUGUGAAAUCCCACGGCUCAACCGUGGAACUGCUCGGUAUACUGGGAAUCUUGAGCCACUUAGGGGUCGUCGGAACAAGCGGUGGAGCGGUGAAAUGCGUAGAUAUCGCUUGGAACGCCAACGGUGAAAACAGACGACUGGGAGUGCGCUGACGCUGAGACACGAAAGCCAGGGGAGCGAACGGGAUUAGAUACCCCGGUAGUCCUGGCCCUAAACGAUGUCGACUAGGUCGUGGCGGCUCUGACGCCGUCGCGGCCGAAGCAAAAGUGCUAAGUCGACCGCCUGGGAAGUACGGUCGCAAGGCUA
RNAcentral lists this ribosomal RNA (377 nucleotides) under uncultured bacterium. RNAcentral's name for it is "bacterial SSU rRNA". It matches the Rfam family "Bacterial small subunit ribosomal RNA", at positions 521 to 896 of the family's 1533-position model. The record is from RNAcentral.